Long non-coding RNA from Gallus gallus (chicken), 7911 nucleotides. The record is from Ensembl. NCBI's taxonomy places the organism in Eukaryota, Metazoa, Chordata, Aves, Galliformes, Phasianidae.
CUCACCGAGCACUAAUCAUACAUGAUGGCCUCUCUGAGCUAACCCUGAGCCCAUGGCACUGAUGGCUUUGGACAGAAUAACUAGCACAGCAAUAAACAUCCAUCUGGCUAUAUAAAAUGGAACUAGAAACAAUAAUAUAAGCGUGCUAUUUAAAAAGUAACGCAGAGUCCUUUCACUCCGUGGAGUUCUCUGGCUUCCUAAGCAAAUGGACGGAUUAUAACAAGCCAUUGUGUAUUCUUUUCUGUUUGUCAGUGACCUAGUUCCAGUACUGUCUGCGAUACUUGAAUGAGAAACUAAAGCUUGGGGGUAGAUCUUCAGCAGGAGUAACUCACCCUGCUCACUGUACAACACAUCGUGGGCACAAAGCGUCUUCCAGGGAAUACGCAGCACUCAGAAAGGUUCAUUCCUCAGCCUGAACAAAGUGAGGAAGAAAGAUGCCUUGCAACAUCAGCAAACAGGGCACAUUUCCCUCUACAGGAUGGGAGCUGGUCAACUCCAUAUUCCUCAGAAGUUUGAGAUCAGGUUCUUCACGUGCCUAAUUUGGACUUAAUUCAAGGCUGGGAUAAAUCAUUACAACUCAGAUGAAGUCAGUAAGAGCACAGCGACUUACAUCAGCUCUGUGUCAGUAAAUACUGACAAAAUUGAUCUCAAACUUUUUCAGAACAAAAGAUUUUUGAAGAUGGAUUAAACAACAUAAAUGCUGAGCUGUUUUGCUAGACUGCAAAUGGCAUAACACAUGCUUUGUGUGACAUCUCUGAAUUAUUCCUUCGUGGCAAUGUUGACAUUAUAUGGUAUUGACUCAUGGAAGAAGCUUAAAUACCCUUUUAAGUUUUCAAGACUCUUUGACAAAGCACUAUUUCAUUAACAAAAUGUUAAUGGAAUCUGUGAAGCCUGAAUAUACAGCAUAGCCUGCUGGUUUCAAGAAGCUGCAUUCACUGACCUAGAGGAGUGACUGCCAUAGAGCACUACAACCUCUAUUUUUAGAAUGCACCUUGUGCAGGACACCCAUGGGCUGAGUAAGGAGAACGUGAGCUUCCGUUACUUCCCCCAUCGAACAGGAUUAUCACACCUUCUGCUGGAGAAGGUCAAAACAGCACUGACAUGGGAAAUGGAUAAUAUAAGGUAAAGCAGGAGGGACAGCAGGGUUGGCAUUGACUUGAAGCUAAGGCUUCUUGCUUGGGACAAGGAGGAAGACCUAGAGAGCACCACUUUGCAUAAUGCAUACUCUGAAGUCAUCUUUGGGAAAGGAGCAGUGAUGUGCCUACAGCUAAAGCUGUUGGCCCUUAGUACUCUGCUGACCCUCAAAUAACUACAGGUUUUUCUAUCUGACAUGCCUAUUGCUCAAAACAGAUCCCAGUUUCCACAUUCUUGAUCCAAUCCAAAGCAGGAACCCAAGAGUGAGACCAGGGCAGACCAAGGCAACACCCAAAUGCUGCACUGCUGCAUGUUUGAAGGAGGUUGGCCCUUCCCUGGUUUUCUACAAGAGGGCAAUAAAUGCAACAAAACUCAACCCUGGAAAAACAGCAGCUUUUUUCAGACAUGUUUUCCAAUGGAGGAACAGAUUUUUUAUCAUCAGCCACCCACAACAUUUUUUUUUUUUUGAAUCAAUAAACUUGUAACUGUUUAUAAUACAUGGUGCUGGUGACUGUGACAUGCUCACAAUGCAUAUUCAACUUUUAACUCUGUGAAUUUAUCACUUGUAAGUUCUUUGCAUGAACAGCGACAGAGCUUUUCAAUGGCAAAAUUCACCCACACGCUGAAAAGUCAACUUCCUAAAGCCAAUCAUGUCUGCUGUUUUCUGUGUCUGUUACUACUUUACAUAACGUGUUGUUAUGAACAGAUGAGACCAGAAUGGAGGGACAUGGAAAUACUAAACGUCCGUCCGCUCACUGUCUUCUGCAUUGGGUGGCAUUUGGUGUGCCAUCAGAAUCUACAUUUCCUCCUGAACAGUCCAUUUUUCACAUGGAUUUGCGUAAGGUAACCAGGGGAAGAAAAUCACAAGUUAGAAAUUUAAUGAGAAAAACAGCACAUAAACACAAAAAUUGACUGAGGUACCCAAGGGCCACCUUGCAGCCUCAAACUGUGCUUGCACACAAGUCGUCUUUCCAAAUGCCUUGCUCACAAGCACAGAGCAGAGGAAGGCUGCACCACCUGGAGCAUGCUCAGCUGCAUUGCACUGACCCAAGGGAGCACUGCCAGUCCCUGCAAACAGGAUUAGUUCAAGCACAAGGCAAUUCCAACUUUCAGUUCACCACCACUAAAUAGAGGAUAAACUUGCCUGCAGCACAGCAGCACAGACAAAGCAGCACUGUAGACUGUCCUGCAAACGUGGCCGUUAGAGGACAAUCAGCUGGGAGACAUUCCUCAAGAUUUCAGUGCAAUUGUGUUAGAAAUAAAAGACAGAAGCUCUUCAAAAAUAAGCAAAUAAAGUCCUGAAUGGUUGCUACAGUAAUGAUGGACAUGCCAGAAUCAGCCCAGUUUAAUCUCAGCACAAAAUGAAUGCGGCACGUGAGCAGAGAAUCCAGGUGAGCUUUCAGGGCUUGGUAUUCCUACAUGUAUGGAAAUACAAUAACCUAAUAAAAGCAAAAGGAAGAUCACACAGACCAUCUCUCAAAGGUUUCGUGGAGAAUAUUGUAACUUUUGGUAUAUAACAGAGUAAAGGACAUACAGAAGAAUCAAAAUUCAAGGGAAUUGCAGAAAGAAGGAUUUUUCCAUCUUGACAGCAAAGUAUUGCACUCUGUUAAGAACAAAGUUCAGUGUGAUCUCGCUGGGGCCACAAAUGUUCCAGAUGAAUUAACAGAAGUCCAUUGAUCUGCAGGACCAAGCAGGAUGUAUACUGGCUGAAGAUCUGCCCCAUGAGGCUUGUAUCCCACUGCCAAGAAGCCAUCUCCCACCCUACAGAUAGCAUUGGUCAAAACCCGCUGUGAAUAACCACUUUAUAAUGCAAGACACUUACUAUGCAGUGGGUCACUGGUAGCAGAGUUGAAAAAGGGACAUUCAGAUCUGCAAUCACAAGCCUCUAUAGUCAGCACUAAAAAAAUUAGCUCUGUCUCAAAGGCUCUUGUAGACCCAGGAGGAUUAACACCAGUAUUCAAAGAACAGAAUGCUGCGGUAGGUUAGCAAGGGUUAAGGAAAACCAAAGACCUUGAUAUCUUGCAAAUCUACAUGCAUACUGCACAAAAGUUUUCCCCCUCUCAUACUCAAGAUUGCAUUUGUCACACUUUUAGAAAAACCUUUAAUGGAAAUCUCAGAUAUGCUCUGAUAAAGCCAUAAAUAGAAACAACAAGCUCAGGGAAAACAUGCAUCCCAUACUGACCAUCAUUUUCCAUUUUCCUGCUUUUGAGCAAGACUGCAACAGUGCAAAGACCCAAGGACAACUGGAAGACAGAAGCUCACCAGAACAGGCAUCUCUCCUUUAGAUCUCCACUUCCCUACAGUUACAUAGGUUUCUAGUGCUCUGACAACUCAGUAUAGUUACAGCCACAUUUUAACUCAGCUGCCAUGCUCACACCACCACCAGACACACCUCCCACCAGCUGCUCUUCAAUGAGGGCACUUAUUACUCCAGGAGAAAAUCACCUGUGUAGUAUCAGACUGCUGUUUUUCUUGAGGUUGAAUAGAGGACGGAUGGAGCUGUGGGACAUUUGAUAUCAGCAGAAGACUUUCAUGCAGCAGUCAGCAGACACACCCCAGCACACAUGCAUGCAUGCAGCAGACCUAGCAUGAGAAUCCCAAAAAUAAUUGCAGCUGUAUUCCUCUUCUCAACCUGAGAAAAGUGACCUUAACAAGGCUAUCAUGGAGCUCUCCUGAGGGUGCUUUACACAGUGGAAGGGAACAUGGCUGUGGACUUGUGUGCCUGGAAGCACAAGGGAGAUGUGCAGGAGCCAGCCAUGAUCACUGUAGUGAUGGUGCCCAGUGUAGUAAGAUAUCCAAACUCUUUAAUAAGGCUUUCAGUAGCACAUUCCUUUGAAGUCCUUCAGAGCAUGACAGCAAUUAACUGAAGACUCAUCUUCCCUCAUGUUGUUUUAUCCACUCUCACUCGAGAUCAACACUUCCUCUGAUGGUAGUGCAAAUUCACACCCCCCAGCUACAAGGAGCUUGCAAAACGACCCGGUUACAAUUACAGACACAAUGAGCAGUACCUUCGGUGUUUCUGGGCUCAUUCUGAUUGUUUCUCAUGGCCUCCAUUUUGCAGAUGUAAGACAGUAGGGCAAUCCACCACUGAGUGCAUCCAGCUAAAAAAACUAGCUGCAAUAGGAUUUUCUCCACCUUGAGAGAAAUAAGGAGACAGCGAGCAGCAGAUAGGCAACAGGGAAGCAUUAAUCCAAAAGUGCUCUUGGAAGAAAGUUUUUCAAGGUUUUCUGUUUACUUGUUCCUGUUGUGGUUUUUUUUGUCGUUUGUUUUGGGUUUUUUUGGUUGUUUUUUGUUUGUUUGUUUUGGGUAUUGUUUUGAAAGUGAGCAAGGAUGAGGAUAAAAGAGAACUAAUUCCUCACUAAAGGGCCUCCUACAGCCCAAGCAUGGCGGCCUGCUGGCUGCGGCACAGCGCCGUAACCUCUGCACGCAGCCACUUGAACAGGGUUCAAGGCAAUGACUUCACAUGGAGGCAGAGUGCGAAUGGCUUUAAACCACCGAAGCAGUGAUAUAAAAUUGCGGUGUGGCAGCAGGGGGGGCCCUGCAGCCUCACAGCGGGGAGAAGGGGUCUGGGAACAGCCCUCCACAGGGGCAGGCAGAUGUCAGAGGGAAAACAAAAGAGGAUCCGAAGCCUUCUCCUCUGAGCAUCACCUGCAUCCACACAUCGCUCUGUCGGCCACCUCCAGAGCCCUGAGGGCGCAGCAGUUCACCCCUCAGAAGUGAAAAGGAAGGGAUAAAGAGCAGCAACCCGGAAUUUCUGUUCUGUGAGAAAUUCCUGUAUUCCGACAGUCUCUUUGUGCAGGAGGGAAAUGGGAUCUUAAAGGGUUCUUGUAAAACUGAAGUGGUGAGGACACGUUAUCAAAAUGUUCCAUUUUAAUGACGCGCUGUGUUGUAGUCUGAGGGCAUUAAAACAAUCCAAACGUAACAAAACAUAAAGCAAAGCAUGUAACAAACAUGAGAACCACGCCACAAACGCAAAGUAGGAGCCUGAGCAAAUUAAAACAUAUCAGCAUCCUCAAAACCAAACAGUUCAGCAUUACACCAGCAAGGAUGAAAGUCAAAUGAGUCGCUGGAACGCGCUGUGUCUUAAAGUGGAGCGACCAACAGUAUUCCUACGGAAAACUCCAUUUCCAUUCACACUGCACUGAGCUGUUUGAACAUGUUGUGACUGCCAGCACUCAGGAUAUUGCUGCCACCACGACCUCCCCUGCCAAGGUGAUGCAGCGAGCAGCACAGCGCUACUCCUCCUGACGGAAGGAAACCCUAAGAUCUAUAUUUUCUAUAAAAUUGCCUUAUUUCUCAGCCAAGAUACUAUAAGCAGAGGUAAAGCGAAGCUAUUGCUACUGAGACCUCCUUACUGUAAGAAAACAUACCGCAGUGCAUUUACUGAUAUGCUAUGAAAUCACAUAAAUCAUUCUGACAACAUGAUACUUGUCAAAAUAAAGGCAUAAAAUAUGGUUUGAAAUAAAAUAUCCUCAGUCCUGUUUAUUCAUUUGCUUACUCAUGCUGUUUGGCUUUUCUCAAUGGGUUCCCCAAUCGUUGGGGUGAAUUAGUGAGGUUCUGCUGGAAAUACCAAACCACGUGCAUAUUCACAGUCUUAUACACGCUGAAUAUCUGCAUAUAGCUCUGUACAGUCAUUCAACUGAACUGAAAAUAAAGCAUUCAAAGGACACUUUUCCUGUAAUAUUUUUUUCUCUUCCAGUAUUUUUCCCCUCCCCCCUCAAUAUUUCACUAGUGCUUAACGGUGGCAUGGUUUAAGGGAGUCCUGCAUGGAAAGCUCCUUCAGCUGCUUAGCCCAACAGCAUAAAUUUGAUCUCGUAAUUAGUAUUCAGCUCAGCAUCUUGGAUAGAAACCAAUGUUACAGCCAAGAGGUGGUUUAAAUCACAUAAAUCAUAGAUCAAUGACAGAACUCUAAGCACUGGAUAGAUUACAAAAGUAAGCUUUAGUUAAAAAUAGAUUAACCAUUUCCCUGCAGGAAUUCCUUCAAAAAAGCCCUGAAUAUAAAACAAAUAAAAUUAAAUCUGAUAAUUUUUUUCUAAUGUAUGCAUAUACUAGAUGAAUUGUUCUUUCCCUUGACAGUUACACACUGAUUAAAGAAAUGUGUUAACAUGCUAUUUCAAUGGAAAAUAUUGUAAGUUGUGGAGACUUUAAUUUUUUUAAUGAGGUUUUAAUAGCCAGAAAGAACAUACCAGAAAUGUUGUGCACAGCUAGGUUGGUAGCAAACGUCACAGCAGCUAGCAGAUACUUCUUCAGUUGCUAUUUUUAUAGAAAGGGGUAAAAAUCCUUCUUACGCAAAGAAAAAUGUUUUUGAGAGGUGUUUUUAAAGUGUUUUAUGUUUUUAAUUUUAGCUAAUGAAGUGUCCAGUUCUGAGAAGUAUCACAAGCUGUCUGCUGCCAAUGUAAGCACCCAUUGGGGUACUCGGCGUCCUGAAGGGUUGCACCCAAGGUCCCCAAAUUGUUACCAGUUCAGCGGGACAGAAGAUGAGGGGUUGAAACUCUUUCCUUUGACUGAGGAUGGAAGGAGGUGCUGAUGCUGGAAUCAAAUUCUCACCUGAUGUAUACCGGCUUUACAACAAAUAGGAGUGCACAGAUUAAAAGCAUUUUCUAGCUCCUAUGUAUUUUAGCGUGUUUUCAUAUUGAGAGGUCAGACAUCACGCCAUUGUUCAAAAGAAAAAUAAAAACAAAAAACUUUUAACCCUAUCAAGGAGAAUUUGCAUGUCUAUUUUGUUAGUUGCAGAACUGAACAGUAUUAAGAGCACCUCAGCCACUCCUCAGGAAGGAGAACUGCACAAUUCUGAGCCACUGCAGCUGGAAUAAUGUACUUGAAUUCCUCCCAUUGACUGGCAGGCACACAGAAGGCAGAGAGCCCUUUAAACACACACACACACACACACACACACACACACACGCUCACAAUUCGAGGCAGUUCAAGCAACAUCAAACAGAUGAAAGCAGCCUGAACAUCAGGCCUCCAAUCCUGCCACCUCACACGCUCUGCUUACACUAUUUAAAUGCAGCUUAACAUUAGUUAGAAAAUGAUCAAACAAGCUGAUUGAAACUCAAAAUUUCCUAGCCCUGGAUUAACAAAUUUUGAUCAGAUGGAGAACUGGAAAUACUGGAAUUCGCCCUGAUAAAAAGUUGCACAGUUUUUGAAUUGAUAGCUGCUAUAGCCAUAACAUGAUUAAUAAAAAUCUUCCUGAACAUUAAUACUUGCUUCUAACUUCCUACAAAACACAAAAACAGGAAUGUAAUUGUUAGUCAUAUCUAGAAUUCUUAAAAUAAAUAAUAGUGCUUUCAUAUGCCUUACAUUUGUUUUCGAAUACUCAGAUGCACCAAGAAGAGCGUUUUUAAACUUUUAGUGCUUUAUGGAAAUUACAGCUUUCAAUUUCCUAAGGCUUGUUUCACCGUAAGAAGAAAUAAAAAAGCAAGCUGCUUGAUGGCUAUUUGAGGAACAACGUUCAAAACUGGCACCCUGUGUGAUAGAAGACUGCAAUAUAUGCAAUCAAGAGAUAGAUUCAAACAAUAAUAACUAGCUCAGGCUCCAGGGCAUAGCAGAAUGUGUCAUUUACUACAGACCUGAGCCUUUAAACAUCAGUCCUGUGAACAGUCCGGUGGAAAAUAGAUGGCACUGCUCACAUAAGUACAGACUGCUCAUACAGGGAAGUUUUCAAAGGCUCUGCAUUUUCUAAGGGGCUGAAAAAUGCAUAUUGAGUUUAGUAAAACUACAGAAAAAAAGAUCUCUUGUAACAAGCCAAAUUGUCAGUGAGAUGUCAGGGUUAAU